RNAcentral lists this ribosomal RNA (847 nucleotides) under Bacillus paramycoides. RNAcentral describes it as "bacterial SSU rRNA". It matches the Rfam family "Bacterial small subunit ribosomal RNA", at positions 53 to 877 of the family's 1533-position model. The record is from RNAcentral. Lineage: Bacteria; Bacillati; Bacillota; Bacilli; Caryophanales; Bacillaceae.
ACUUGCAAGUUCGAGCGAAUGGAUUAAGAGCUGUGCUCUUAUGAAGUUAGCGGCGGACGGGUGAGUAACACGUGGGUAACCUGCCCAUAAGACUGGGAUAACUCCGGGAAACCGGGGCUAAUACCGGAUAACAUUUUGAACCGCAUGGUUCGAAAUUGAAAGGCGGCUUCGGCUGUCACUUAUGGAUGGACCCGCGUCGCAUUAGCUAGUUGGUGAGGUAACGGCUCACCAAGGCAACGAUGCGUAGCCGACCUGAGAGGGUGAUCGGCCACACUGGGACUGAGACACGGCCCAGACUCCUACGGGAGGCAGCAGUAGGGAAUCUUCCGCAAUGGACGAAAGUCUGACGGAGCAACGCCGCGUGAGUGAUGAAGGCUUUCGGGUCGUAAAACUCUGUUGUUAGGGAAGAACAAGUGCUAGUUGAAUAAGCUGGCACCUUGACGGUACCUAACCAGAAAGCCACGGCUAACUACGUGCCAGCAGCCGCGGUAAUACGUAGGUGGCAAGCGUUAUCCGGAAUUAUUGGGCGUAAAGCGCGCGCAGGUGGUUUCUUAAGUCUGAUGUGAAAGCCCACGGCUCAACCGUGGAGGGUCAUUGGAAACUGGGAGACUUGAGUGCAGAAGAGGAAAGUGGAAUUCCAUGUGUAACGGUGAAAUGCGUAUAGAUAUGUAGGAACACCAGUGGCGAAAGCGACUUUCUCGUCUGUAACUGACACUGAGGCGCGAAANNGUGGAGNNCAAACCGGAUUAGAUACCCUGGUAGUCCACGCCGUAGACGAUGNNNGCUAAGUGUUGAAUGUGUUCCGCCCUUUUAUGCUAGGGUUNANGCCUUGAACACUGCGCCCUGG